AAAUUGAAGAGUUUGAUCAUGGCUCAGAUUGAACGCUGGCGGCAGGCCUAACACAUGCAAGUCGAACGGUAACAGGAAGAAGCUUGCUUCUUUGCUGACGAGUGGCGGACGGGUGAGUAAUGUCUGGGAAACUGCCUGAUGGAGGGGGAUAACUACUGGAAACGGUAGCUAAUACCGCAUAACGUCGCAAGACCAAAGAGGGGGACCUUAGGGCCUCUUGCCAUCGGAUGUGCCCAGAUGGGAUUAGCUAGUAGGUGGGGUAACGGCUCACCUAGGCGACGAUCCCUAGCUGGUCUGAGAGGAUGACCAGCCACACUGGAACUGAGA
RNAcentral lists this ribosomal RNA (327 nucleotides) under Escherichia coli. RNAcentral describes it as "bacterial SSU rRNA". It matches the Rfam family "Bacterial small subunit ribosomal RNA", at positions 1 to 324 of the family's 1533-position model. The record is from RNAcentral. Lineage: Bacteria; Pseudomonadati; Pseudomonadota; Gammaproteobacteria; Enterobacterales; Enterobacteriaceae.